AUUGAACGCUGGCGGCAGGCCUAACACAUGCAAGUCGAGCGGAUGAAGGGAGCUUGCUCCUGGAUUCAGCGGCGGACGGGUGAGUAAUGCCUAGGAAUCUGCCUGGUAGUGGGGGAUAACGUCCUGAAACGUGCGCUAAUACCUCAUACGUCCUGAGGGAGAAAGUGGGGGAUCUUCGGACCUCACGCUAUCAGAUUAGCCUAGGUCGGAUUAGCUAGUUGGUGGGGUAAAGGCCUACCAAGGCGACGAUCCGUAACUGGUCUGAGAGGAUGAUCAGUCACACUGGAACUGAGACACGGUACAGACUCAUACGGGAGGCAGCAGUGGGGAAUAUUGGACAAUGGGCGAAAGCCUGAUCAAGCCAUGCCGCGUGUGUGAAGAAGGUAUUCGGAUUGUAAAGCACAUUAAGUUGGGAGGAAGGGCAGUAAGAUAAUACCUUGAUGUUUUGACGUUACCAACAGAAUAAGCAACGGCUAACUUCGUG
RNAcentral lists this ribosomal RNA (484 nucleotides) under uncultured bacterium. RNAcentral describes it as "partial 16S ribosomal RNA". It matches the Rfam family "Bacterial small subunit ribosomal RNA", at positions 30 to 507 of the family's 1533-position model. The record is from RNAcentral.